This 555-nucleotide ribosomal RNA is filed under the name Phlebia tremellosa. Its description in RNAcentral is "eukaryotic LSU rRNA". The stretch from base 265 to 418 matches the Rfam family "5.8S ribosomal RNA". The record is from RNAcentral. Lineage: Eukaryota; Fungi; Basidiomycota; Agaricomycetes; Polyporales; Meruliaceae.
UUCCGUAGGGUGAACCUGCGGAAGGAUCAUUAUCGAGUUUUUGAAACGGGUUGUCGCUGGUCCCGUUCUUAACAGAGUCGGGACAUGUGCACACCUGGCUUCAUUCCACUCUUCAACCCCUGUGCACUUGUUGUAGGUUUCAGGUCGGACGCGGGGCUUUUGACUUCAUCGUCGAGAGCCUCAAGGAAAGCCUGAGCCUAUGUUUUACCAUACACACGCUUCAGUUAUAGAAUGUAAACAUCGCGUAUAACGCAUUUUAAAUACAACUUUCAGCAACGGAUCUCUUGGCUCUCGCAUCGAUGAAGAACGCAGCGAAAUGCGAUAAGUAAUGUGAAUUGCAGAAUUCAGUGAAUCAUCGAAUCUUUGAACGCACCUUGCGCUCCUUGGUAUUCCGAGGAGCAUGCCUGUUUGAGUGUCAUGGAAUUCUCAACCUUUGAAAGCUUUUAUCGGUUCUCAAAGGCUUGGACUUGGAGGUCGUGUCGGCUCUGCAAAGAAUCGACUCCUCUGAAACGUAUCAGUGCGAACCUUUACGGAUCGUCUUCGGUGUGAUAAACG